UACAGAGGUGGCAAGCGUUGUUCGGAUUUACUGGGUGUAAAGGGUACGUAGGCGGUUUAGAUAGUCGGACGUGAAAGCCCAUGGCUCAACCAUGGAAUUGCGUCCGAUACUCCUAGACUAGAGUGUGAGAGAGGAAGAUGGAAUUCCAGGUGUAAGGGUGAAAUCUGUAGAUAUCUGGAGGAACACCAGUGGCGAAGGCGAUCUUCUGGUUCACAACUGACGCUGAGUGUACGACAGCUAGGGCAGCGAACGGG
This 254-nucleotide unclassified non-coding RNA is filed under the name uncultured bacterium. Its description in RNAcentral is "contains 16S-23S intergenic spacer region". It matches the Rfam family "Bacterial small subunit ribosomal RNA", at positions 524 to 776 of the family's 1533-position model. The record is from RNAcentral.